This 468-nucleotide ribosomal RNA is filed under the name uncultured bacterium. Its description in RNAcentral is "partial 16S ribosomal RNA". It matches the Rfam family "Bacterial small subunit ribosomal RNA", at positions 28 to 507 of the family's 1533-position model. The record is from RNAcentral.
GAUGAACGCUGGCGGCGUGCUUAACACAUGCAAGUCGAACGGUGAAGGCGGAGCUUGCUCUGCUGGAUCAGUGGCGAACGGGUGAGUAACACGUGAGCAAUCUGCCCCUGACUCUGGGAUAAGCGCUGGAAACGGCGUCUAAUACUGGAUACGAGCUGCGAAGGCAUCUUCAGCAGCUGGAAAGAAUUUCGGUCAGGGAUGAGCUCGCGGCCUAUCAGCUUGUUGGUGAGGUAAUGGCUCGCCAAGGCGUCGACGGGUAGCCGGCCUGAGAGGGUGACCGGCCACACUGGGACUGAGACACGGCCCAGACUCCUACGGGAGGCAGCAGUGGGGAAUAUUGCACAAUGGGCGAAAGCCUGAUGCAGCAACGCCGCGUGAGGGACGACGGCCUUCGGGUUGUAAACCUCUUUUAGCAGGGAAGAAGCGAAAGUGACGGUACCUGCAGAAAAAGCGCCGGCUAACUACGUG